CCUACGGGGCGCAGCAGUGGGGGAUAUUGCACAAUGGGGGCAACCCUGAUGCAGCGACGCCGCGUGAGCGAUGGAGUACUUCGGUAUGUAAAGCUCUGUCAGCAGGGAAGAGAAUGACGGUACCUGACCAAGAAGCCCCGGCUAAAUACGUGCCAGCAGCCGCGGUAAUACGUAGGGGGCAAGCGUUAUCCGGAUUUACUGGGUGUAAAGGGAGCGUAGACGGUGAUGCAAGUCAGAAGUGAAAGCCCGGGGCUCAACUCCGGGACUGCUUUGGAAACUUUGUGACUGGAGUGCAGGAGAGGUAAGCGGAAUGCCUGGUGUAGCGGUGAAAUGCGGAGAUAUCAGGAGGAACACCAGUGGCGAAGGCGGCUUACUGGACUGUAACUGACGUUGAGGCUCGAAAGCGUGGGGAGCAAACAGGAUUAGAUACCCUAGUAGUC
RNAcentral lists this ribosomal RNA (440 nucleotides) under uncultured bacterium. RNAcentral describes it as "partial 16S ribosomal RNA". It matches the Rfam family "Bacterial small subunit ribosomal RNA", at positions 338 to 795 of the family's 1533-position model. The record is from RNAcentral.